UACGAAGGGGGCUAGCGUUGCUCGGAAUCACUGGGCGUAAAGCGCACGUAGGCGGAUUCUUAAGUCGGGGGUGAAAUCCUGGAGCUCAACUCCAGAACUGCCUUCGAUACUGGGAAUCUUGAGUCCGGAAGAGGUGAGUGGAACUGCGAGUGUAGAGGUGAAAUUCGUAGAUAUUCGCAAGAACACCAGUGGCGAAGGCGGCUCACUGGCCCGAUACUGACGCUGAGGCACGAAAGCGUGGGGAGCAAACAGG
RNAcentral lists this ribosomal RNA (253 nucleotides) under uncultured bacterium. RNAcentral's name for it is "partial 16S ribosomal RNA". It matches the Rfam family "Bacterial small subunit ribosomal RNA", at positions 524 to 776 of the family's 1533-position model. The record is from RNAcentral.